AUGAGAUUUCUUUCUACGGAUAUGAAGGAUAGAAAUAUGCUAUUUGCUGCUAUUCCAUCUAUUUGUGCAUCAAGUCCGAAGAAGAUCUCAAUCUAUAAUGAAGAAAUGAUAGUAGCUCGUUGUUUUAUAGGCUUUCUCAUAUUCAGUCGGAAGAGUUUAGGUAAGACUUUCAAAGAAACUCUCGACGGGAGAAUCGAGUCUAUUCAGGAAGAAUUGCUGCAAUUCUUCAAUCCUAACGAAGUAAUUCCGGAGGAAUCCAAUGAACAACAGCGAUUACUUAGGAUCAGCUUGCGAAUUUGCAGCACCGUAGUAGAAUCAUUACCAAUGGCACGUUGUGCGCCUAAGUGCGAAAAGACAGUGCAAGCUUUGUUAUGCCGAAACCUAAAUAUAAAGUCAGCAACACUUCUAAAUUCCACUUCUUCCCGCCGCAUCCGUCUUCAGGACAAUAUAGUCACAGGUUUUCACUUUUCAGUGAGUGAAAGAUUUGUAUCCGGGUCUACGUUCAAAGCUUCUACCAUAGACCUAAUUCGAGAAGGCUUGAUAGUCCUAAGAAAGGUGAGGGUGGGGGUUCUAUUUAGGAAGAAUAAGAAGAAUCGCAUUCAUGUGUUCAUGCUAACAGAAGAGCGGAUCCAAUACACAUAA
This 642-nucleotide ribosomal RNA is filed under the name Triticum aestivum (bread wheat). RNAcentral describes it as "partial small subunit ribosomal RNA". The record is from RNAcentral. Lineage: Eukaryota; Viridiplantae; Streptophyta; Magnoliopsida; Poales; Poaceae.